GCCGGGCGUGGUGGCUCAUGCCUAUAAUCCCAGCUACUCAGGAGGCUGAGGCAGGAGAAUCACUUGAACCUGGGAGCUGGAGAUUGCAGUGAGCCGAGAUCGCGCCACAGUACUCCAGCCUGGGUGACAGAGUGAGACUCUGUCUCAA
This 148-nucleotide non-coding RNA is filed under the name Gorilla gorilla gorilla (western lowland gorilla). Lineage: Eukaryota; Metazoa; Chordata; Mammalia; Primates; Hominidae. The record is from Rfam by way of RNAcentral.